RNAcentral lists this ribosomal RNA (492 nucleotides) under uncultured bacterium. Its description in RNAcentral is "partial 16S ribosomal RNA". It matches the Rfam family "Bacterial small subunit ribosomal RNA", at positions 29 to 507 of the family's 1533-position model. The record is from RNAcentral.
AGUGAACGCUGGCGGUAGGCCUAACACAUGCAAGUCGAACGGCAGCACAGUAAGAGCUUGCUCUUACGGGUGGCGAGUGGCGGACGGGUGAGGAAUACAUCGGAAUCUACUUUUUCGUGGGGGAUAACGUAGGGAAACUUACGCUAAUACCGCAUACGACCUACGGGUGAAAGCAGGGGAUCUUCUGACCUUGCGCGAUUGAAUUAGCCGAUGUCGGAUUAGCUAGUUGGCGGGGUAAAGGCCCACCAAGGCGACGAUCCGUAGCUGGUCUGAGAGGAUGAUCAGCCACACUGGAACUGAGACACGGUCCAGAGUCCUACGGGAGGCAGCAGUGGGGAAUAUUGGACAAUGGGCGCAAGCCUGAUCCAGCCAUACCGCGUGGGUGAAGAAGGCCUUCGGGUUGUAAAGCCCUUUUGUUGGGAAAGAAAAGCAGCAGGUUAAUACCCAGCUGUUCUGACGGUACCCAAAGAAUAAGCACCGGCUAACUUCGUG